This 531-nucleotide ribosomal RNA is filed under the name Humicola fuscoatra. Its description in RNAcentral is "eukaryotic LSU rRNA". The stretch from base 178 to 331 matches the Rfam family "5.8S ribosomal RNA". Lineage: Eukaryota; Fungi; Ascomycota; Sordariomycetes; Sordariales; Chaetomiaceae. The record is from RNAcentral.
GGAUCAUUACAGAGUUGCAAAACUCCCUAAACCAUUGUGAACGUUACCUAAACCGUUGCUUCGGCGGGCGGCCCGGGUCCUGCCCGGCGCCCCUCGGCCCUCGCGGGCGCCCGCCGGAGGAAAACCAAACUAUUGCAUUGUAUGGCCUCUCUGAGUCUUCUGUACUGAAUAAGUCAAAACUUUCAACAACGGAUCUCUUGGUUCUGGCAUCGAUGAAGAACGCAGCGAAAUGCGAUAAGUAAUGUGAAUUGCAGAAUUCAGUGAAUCAUCGAAUCUUUGAACGCACAUUGCGCCCGCCAGUAUUCUGGCGGGCAUGCCUGUUCGAGCGUCAUUUCAACCAUCAAGCCCCGGGCUUGUGUUGGGGACCUGCGGCUGCCGCAGGCCCUGAAAUGCAGUGGCGGGCUCGCUGUCACUCCGAGCGUAGUAGUUACAUCUCGCUCUGGGCGUGCUGCGGGUUCCGGCCGUUAAAAGCCUUAUUUACCCAAGGUUGACCUCGGAUCAGGUAGGAAGACCCGCUGAACUUAAGCAUAU